This 83-nucleotide transfer RNA is filed under the name Paracoccaceae bacterium. RNAcentral describes it as "Rhodobacteraceae bacterium tRNA-Ser". It matches the Rfam family "tRNA". Rfam says of the family: Transfer RNA (tRNA) molecules are approximately 80 nucleotides in length. The record is from RNAcentral. Lineage: Bacteria; Pseudomonadati; Pseudomonadota; Alphaproteobacteria; Rhodobacterales; Paracoccaceae.
GGAGAGAUGCUAGAGUGGUUAAUAGGGCUACCUGCUAAGUAGUUUUCCAAUAGGAUUCACAGGUUCAAAUCCUGUUCUUUCCG